This 601-nucleotide ribosomal RNA is filed under the name uncultured bacterium. Its description in RNAcentral is "bacterial SSU rRNA". It matches the Rfam family "Bacterial small subunit ribosomal RNA", at positions 227 to 838 of the family's 1533-position model. The record is from RNAcentral.
UACGGCGCGGCCUAUCAGCUUGUUGGUGGGGUAAUGGCCUACCAAGGCGACGACGGGUAGCCGGCCUGAGAGGGCGACCGGCCACACUGGGACUGAGACACGGCCCAGACUCCUACGGGAGGCAGCAGUGGGGAAUAUUGCACAAUGGGCGGAAGCCUGAUGCAGCGACGCCGCGUGAGGGAUGACGGCCUUCGGGUUGUAAACCUCUUUCACCCAUGACGAAGCGCAAGUGACGGUAGUGGGAGAAGAAGCGCCGGCCAACUACGUGCCAGCAGCCGCGGUAAGACGUAGGGCGCGAGCGUUGUCCGGAAUUAUUGGGCGUAAAGAGCUCGUAGGCGGCUUGUCGCGUCGGCUGUGAAAUCCCGUGGCUCAACUGCGGGUCUGCAGCCGAUACGGGCAGGCUAGAGUUCGGUAGGGGAGACUGGAAUUCCUGGUGUAGCGGUGAAAUGCGCAGAUAUCAGGAGGAACACCGAUGGCGAAGGCAGGUCUCUGGGCCGAUACUGACGCUGAGGAGCGAAAGCGUGGGGAGCGAACAGGAUUAGAUACCCUGGUAGUCCACGCUGUAAACGUUGGGCGCUAGGUGUGGGGGACCUCUCCGGUU